UACAGAGGUGGCGAGCGUUGUUCGGAUUUACUGGGCGUAAAGGGUGUGUAGGCGGUCGCGUGUGUCGGAUGUGAAAUCCCACGGCCUAACCGUGGAAUUGCAUCCGAAACUGCGUGGCUAGAGUGCAGGAUGGGAGAGCGGAAUUCUUGGUGUAGCGGUGAAAUGCGUUGAUAUCAAGAGGAACACCGGUGGCGAAGGCGGCUCUCUGGAAUGCUACUGACGCUCAGACACGAAAGUUGGGGGAG
This 245-nucleotide ribosomal RNA is filed under the name uncultured bacterium. RNAcentral describes it as "partial 16S ribosomal RNA". It matches the Rfam family "Bacterial small subunit ribosomal RNA", at positions 524 to 768 of the family's 1533-position model. The record is from RNAcentral.